UACGUAGGCAGCAAGCGUUGUUCGGAAUUAUUGGGCGUAAAGAGUGUGUAGGCGGUGUCGUAAGUUUGGCGUGAAAUCUCCCGGCUUAACUGGGAGGGUGCGCCGAAGACUGCGAUGCUUGAGGAUCGGAGAGGAAAGUGGAAUUUCUGGUGUAGCGGUGAAAUGCGUAGAUAUCAGAAGGAACACCUGUGGUGUAGACGGCUUUCUGGACGAUUCCUGACGCUGAGACACGAAAGCGUGGGUAGCAAACAGG
This 253-nucleotide ribosomal RNA is filed under the name uncultured bacterium. Its description in RNAcentral is "partial 16S ribosomal RNA". It matches the Rfam family "Bacterial small subunit ribosomal RNA", at positions 524 to 776 of the family's 1533-position model. The record is from RNAcentral.